UACGUAGGUGGCAAGCGUUGUCCGGAAUUAUUGGGCGUAAAGCGCGCGCAGGCGGUCCUUUAAGUCUGAUGUGAAAGCCCACGGCUCAACCGUGGAGGGUCAUUGGAAACUGGGGGACUUGAGUGCAGAAGAGGAAAGCGGAAUUCCACGUGUAGCGGUGAAAUGCGUAGAGAUGUGGAGGAACACCAGUGGCGAAGGCGGCUUUCUGGUCUGUAACUGACGCUGAGACACGAAAGCGUGGGUAGCAAACAGG
This 253-nucleotide ribosomal RNA is filed under the name uncultured bacterium. RNAcentral describes it as "partial 16S ribosomal RNA". It matches the Rfam family "Bacterial small subunit ribosomal RNA", at positions 524 to 776 of the family's 1533-position model. The record is from RNAcentral.